GCAAUGAUGACACUUUCUUGUUUUGAUCACCAAUGAAAAUACACUUAUCAAUUCCUCUAAGAAGUUCUGAGCUC
RNAcentral lists this small nucleolar RNA (74 nucleotides) under Mola mola (ocean sunfish). RNAcentral describes it as "Small nucleolar RNA SNORD61 (ENSMMOG00000014508.1)". It matches the Rfam family "Small nucleolar RNA SNORD61". Rfam says of the family: U61 belongs to the C/D class of snoRNA which contain the C (UGAUGA) and D (CUGA) box motifs. Most of the members of the box C/D family function in directing site-specific 2'-O-methylation of substrate RNAs. Lineage: Eukaryota; Metazoa; Chordata; Actinopteri; Tetraodontiformes; Molidae. The record is from Rfam by way of RNAcentral.